GACGAACGCUGGCGGCGUGCUUAACACAUGCAAGUCGAACGGAAAGGCCCUGCUUUUGUGGGGUGCUCGAGUGGCGAACGGGUGAGUAACACGUGAGUAACCUGCCCUUGACUCUGGGAUAACUUCAGGAAACCGGGGCUAAUACCGGAUAGGAGCUCCUGCUGCAUGGUGGGGGUUGGAAAGAUUCGGCGGUUGGGGAUGGACUCGCGGCUUAUCAGCUUGUUGGUGGGGUAGUGGCUUACCAAGGCUUUGACGGGUAGCCGGCCUGAGAGGGUGACCGGCCACAUUGGGACUGUGAUACGGCCGGGACUCCUGCGGAAGACAGCAGUGGGGAAUAUUGCACGAUGGGCGGAAGCCUGGUGCAGCAACGCCGCGUGCGGGAUGACGGCCUUCGGGUUGUAGACCGCUUUCGCCUGUGACGAAGCGUGAGUGACGGUAAUGGGUAAAGAAGCACCGGCUAACUACGUG
Molecule: ribosomal RNA, 468 nt
Filed under: uncultured bacterium
Lineage: Bacteria
Description: partial 16S ribosomal RNA
Rfam family: Bacterial small subunit ribosomal RNA
Source: RNAcentral